AACGAACGCUGGCGGCAUGCCUAAUACAUGCAAGUCGAACGAGAAAGCUCUUCGGAGUGAGUAGAGUGGCGCACGGGUGAGUAAUGCAUAGGAACGUACCCUAAGAUUUGGAAUAACCACGGGAAACUGUGGCUAAUACCAUAUAGUCUCGCAAGAGUAAAGGAGGCGUAAGCUCCCGUCUUAGGAUCGGCCUAUGUCCCAUUAGCUAGUUGGUAGGGUAAAGGCCUACCAAGGCGACGAUGGGUAGCUGGUCUGAGAGGAUGAUCAGCCACACUGGGACUGGGAAACGGCCCAGACUCCUACGGAGGCAGCAGUAGGGAAUAUUGCACAAUGGAGGAAACUCUGAUGCAGCAAUGCCGCGUGAGUGAAGAAGGCCCUUGGGUCGUAAAGCUCUUUCGAUUGGGAAGAAGGCUCGGUAUGCAAACAGCAUAUCGGGUGGACGGUACCUAAAGAAGAAGCACCGGCUAAUCUCGUGCCAGCAGCCGCUGUAA
This 491-nucleotide ribosomal RNA is filed under the name uncultured bacterium. RNAcentral describes it as "partial 16S ribosomal RNA". It matches the Rfam family "Bacterial small subunit ribosomal RNA", at positions 29 to 523 of the family's 1533-position model. The record is from RNAcentral.